GGUUUUAUAAUGUAACUUAAUGCAUAAUAGAUUGCAAGUCUAAAAGAGAAAAAUUUUUCUAAAACCU
Molecule: transfer RNA, 67 nt
Filed under: Ophiocreas oedipus
Lineage: Eukaryota; Metazoa; Echinodermata; Ophiuroidea; Euryalida; Asteroschematidae
Also listed under: 1 other name
Description: tRNA-Cys
Source: RNAcentral